RNAcentral lists this ribosomal RNA (484 nucleotides) under uncultured bacterium. RNAcentral describes it as "partial 16S ribosomal RNA". It matches the Rfam family "Bacterial small subunit ribosomal RNA", at positions 30 to 507 of the family's 1533-position model. The record is from RNAcentral.
AUUGAACGCUGGCGGCAGGCCUAACACAUGCAAGUCGAGCGGAUGAAGGGGGCUUUCUCCUGGAUUCAGCUGCGGACGGGCGGGUAAUUCCUAGGAAUCUGCCUGGUAUUGGGGGAUAACGUCCGUAAACGGGCGCUAAUCCCGCAUACGUCCUGAUGUUGAAACUGGGGGUUCUUUGGACCACACGCUAUCAGAUGACCCUAGUGCGUGUUUGCUAGUUGGUUGGGUAAAGGCCUACCAAGGCGACGAUCCGUAACUGACCUGAGAGGGUGACCGGUCAGACUGGAACUGAGACACGGUCCAGACUCCUACGGGAGGCAGCAGUAGGGAAUAUGCCGCAAUGGGCGAAAGCCUGACGGAGCAACGCCGCGUGAGGGAGGAAGGUAUUCGGAUCGUAAAACUCUGUUAUUAGGGAAGAACAAAUGUGUAAGUAACUAUGCACGUCUUGACGGUACCUAAUCAGAAAGCCACGGCUAACUACGUG